This 467-nucleotide ribosomal RNA is filed under the name uncultured bacterium. RNAcentral's name for it is "partial 16S ribosomal RNA". It matches the Rfam family "Bacterial small subunit ribosomal RNA", at positions 28 to 507 of the family's 1533-position model. The record is from RNAcentral.
GACGAACGCUGGCGGCGUGCUUAACACAUGCAAGUCGAACGGAAAGGCCUCGUUCGGGGGGUACUCGAGUGGCGAACGGGUGAGUAACACGUGAGUAACCUGCCCUUGACUUUGGGAUAACUUCAGUAAACUGGGGCGAAUACCUGAUAGGAGCUCCUUCUGCAUGGUGGGGGCUGGAAAGUUUCGGCGGUUGGGGAUGGACUCGCGGCGUAUCAGCUUGUUGGUGGGGUAGUGGCUUACCAAGGCUUUGACGGGUAGGCGCCCUGUGAGGGUGACCGGCCACCCUGGGUCUGAGGUACGGCACAGGUUGCUACGGGUGCGCGCAGUGGGGAAUCUUGCCGGAUGGGUGGCGGGCUGGUGCUGAAGCGCUGUGUGUGGGAUGACGGUCUUCGGGUUGUAAAACGAUUGCGCUCAUGACGAAGCUUUGCGUGACGGUAGUGGGUCAGAAAGCACCGGCUAACUACGUG